GAUGAACGCUGGCGGCGUGCCUAAUACAUGCAAGUCGAGCGAACAGACGAGGAGCUUGCUCCUCUGACGUUAGCGGCGGACGGGUGAGUAACACGUGGAUAACCUACCUAUAAGACUGGGAUAACUUCGGGAAACCGGAGCUAAUACCGGAUAAUAUAUUGAACCGCAUGGUUCAAUAGUGAAAGACGGUUUUGCUGUCACUUAUAGAUGGAUCCGCGCCGCAUUAGCUAGUUGGUAAGGUAACGGCUUACCAAGGCGACGAUGCGUAGCCGACCUGAGAGGGUGAUCGGCCACACUGGAACUGAGACACGGUCCAGACUCCUACGGGAGGCAGCAGUAGGGAAUCUUCCGAAAUGGGCGAAAGCCUGACGGAGCAACGCCGCGUUAGUGAUGAAGGUCUUCGGAUCGUAAAACUCUGUUAUUAGGGAAGAACAAAUGUGUAAGUAACUAUGCACGUCUUGACGGUACCUAAUCAGAAAGCCACGGCUAACUACGUG
Molecule: ribosomal RNA, 497 nt
Filed under: uncultured bacterium
Lineage: Bacteria
Description: partial 16S ribosomal RNA
Rfam family: Bacterial small subunit ribosomal RNA
Source: RNAcentral